AGAAAGACAGAGAUCAUCUUUAAGGUGAGUGCCGGGGCAGCUUUUUGAAAUCCAUGAAGUCCUGAUCUGCCUUGCUUGUCGGGUCUUCUCCUCACGACCUUGUCAUGGGUGGGAUCUCGCGUGCUGGCUCCCGGCAACCAACCGACAGAUGAAAA
Molecule: long non-coding RNA, 155 nt
Organism: Cervus elaphus (red deer)
Lineage: Eukaryota; Metazoa; Chordata; Mammalia; Artiodactyla; Cervidae
Exons: 3
Source: RefSeq, a predicted model, not a curated record